Molecule: RNA transcript, 260 nt
Organism: Arabidopsis thaliana (thale cress)
Lineage: Eukaryota; Viridiplantae; Streptophyta; Magnoliopsida; Brassicales; Brassicaceae
Exons: 2
Source: RefSeq
AAUUUGAUUUGUUGGAACACACUUCGAAGCUUGGGAUCUGAAAUAUCUGAUUCUGACUGUAUACUGUAGUCAAAGAUGGGCAGUGAAAGUGAUAAAGGUAGAGAAGCAAUUGUUGAAGAAGAAGAAGAAGAGAUAGUCUGCUUGGAGUCUUUCUUCAUCAACGAUGAGUAAUUUUGUUACACAAACAAAUUUAUCAGUUGACGAAGUUUACGUUUGGUUCUCAUGUUCUUGAGCUCUACUGUCUCCAAUCAGCUUCAAGU